CUAGACUGUACAGAGAUAUGGUGUGG
This 26-nucleotide non-coding RNA is filed under the name Cricetulus griseus (Chinese hamster). The record is from RNAcentral. Lineage: Eukaryota; Metazoa; Chordata; Mammalia; Rodentia; Cricetidae.